UGGCGGACGGGUGAGUAACGCGUAAAGAACUUGCCCUUUAGACUGGGAUAACAGAGGGAAACUUCUGAUAAUACUGGAUAAGUUAGUAUAUCGCAUGAUAUGCAAAUGAAAGCUACGGCACUAAGGGAGAGCUUUGCGUCCUAUUAGCUAGUUGGUAAGGUAAGAGCUUACCAAGGCGAUGAUAGGUAGCCGGCCUGAGAGGGUGGACGGCCACAAGGGGACUGAGAUACGGCCCUUACUCCUACGGGAGGCAGCAGUG
RNAcentral lists this ribosomal RNA (259 nucleotides) under uncultured Leptotrichia sp. Its description in RNAcentral is "partial 16S ribosomal RNA". It matches the Rfam family "Bacterial small subunit ribosomal RNA", at positions 96 to 356 of the family's 1533-position model. The record is from RNAcentral. Lineage: Bacteria; Fusobacteriati; Fusobacteriota; Fusobacteriia; Fusobacteriales; Leptotrichiaceae.